Molecule: ribosomal RNA, 509 nt
Filed under: uncultured beta proteobacterium
Lineage: Bacteria; Pseudomonadati; Pseudomonadota; Betaproteobacteria
Description: bacterial SSU rRNA
Rfam family: Bacterial small subunit ribosomal RNA
Source: RNAcentral
AAUAUUGGACAAUGGGGGAAACCCUGAUCCAACAAUGCCGGGUGUGUGAAGAAGGCCUGCGGGUUGUAAAGCACUUUUAUCGGGGAAGAAUAGGUUGUCGUUAAUAGCGCCAACACUUGCCGUUCCUCGUUGAAUAAGCUCCGGCUAACUCCGUGCCAGCAGCCGGGGUAAUACUGAGGGUGCAAGCUUUUAUCGGAAUUUCUGGGGGUUAAGGGUGGGUAGGCGGAGAUUCAAUUCUGAUGUGAAAGCCCUGGGUUUAACCUGGGAAGGUCAUUGGAAACUGGGUUUCUAGAGUGUGGUAGAGGAAAGUGGAAUUUCCAGUGUAGCGGUGAAAUGCGUAGAUAUUGGGAAGAACACCGAUGGCGAAGGCAGUUUUCUGGCCCAACACUGACGCUGAGGUGCGAAAGCGUGGGGAGCAAACAGGAUUAGAUAUCCCCGGUAGUCCUCGCCGUAAACGAUGUAUACUUGUUGUUGGGGGAAUUUAUUCCCUCAGUGACGGAGCUAACGCG